RNAcentral lists this unclassified non-coding RNA (500 nucleotides) under Hevea brasiliensis (rubber tree). Lineage: Eukaryota; Viridiplantae; Streptophyta; Magnoliopsida; Malpighiales; Euphorbiaceae. The record is from RNAcentral.
GUGCAAAAUUCUUCUAUCAUUGAUAGAGAAGGACUAGAAUGACUGACAAAAAUCUUCACAGUAGAUGCAAGUAGGAAUCCGUCAAGUUCACACUAGAAAUUCAAGAUGACAACAGAGGGAUGUUUACAAGCUACCGAGAGGCAAUAAGAAAUGUAAGUCCGCAAAAUUGUUUCACCAAUUUUUCAUCUCCAAGCAUCGCCAUCAUCAUCAUCAUCAUCAUCAUCAUAAUCAAAGUUAUCAUCAUCCUCAUAAUCAAAAGUGUCAUCGUCACCAUAAAUUCCAUCUUCAUAUUGGACUGCAUCUUCAGACAAGCCUUGCAUCAAUUCCUCGAAUUCUGAAGAUCUACUGCUAGCAUCAUCAUUGUCUUCUUCUAUUUCAUCAGCUGAUGCUUCACUCUCCCCAUCAACUUCAUCUUCCUCUUCGGAUAUUUCAUCAGGAUAAUCAUUCCGUGGAUGAGCCUCAGCAUUUGAAUCAUCACUCUCAUAUUCUGACUCAUCAUC